CAUCUGAUCUUCGGAGGCCAACAGCUGGAGGACGAUGCUCGGCUGGUUUCAUAUGGAAUCCAUCAUGAGGCAACCAUUGAGUUAAUUCUAAAUGUCAGGGUCAUCGUGAAAGAUUUGACUGGGAAGACCAUAAAGUUCGACCUG
Centropristis striata (black sea bass) is the source of this 144-nucleotide long non-coding RNA. RefSeq lists it as uncharacterized. NCBI's taxonomy places the organism in Eukaryota, Metazoa, Chordata, Actinopteri, Perciformes, Serranidae. The transcript is spliced from 2 exons. The record is from RefSeq and is a predicted model, not a curated record.